CCUUAUCGGCAUUCUACAACAAAACGAUCGUCAGCUGCCCAACUUGCAGUUGUAGUUGUCAGAGGAAUGUAACACCAGGAAGCUGCAUUCGGUAAGUUCACAGUCAAACUUAUCAAAACAAUGAAGUUGUUAGGUUCAUUCACGUAUUUGCAUAUUUUAGAGAGGAUUCACCAUACCUGAUGCAAUCAAAUAUCAACGGACCUGGAAAAGAUAUCCACACCCCAUUGGUGCAAUGCACUAGACAUAUGUGCCCGAUAAAAGUGCACUGGCAUAUCAAAGAAAGCUACAAACAGUACUGGCGAGUAAAGAUCACAAUCACAAAUUUCAACUAUGGGAUGAAUUACUCACAAUGGAAUAUCGUCGCACAGCACCCCAAUUUCAAUAACUUGACUCAGUUGUUUAGUUUCAACUACAAAUCCUUAAUUCC
RNAcentral lists this long non-coding RNA (427 nucleotides) under Zostera marina. RNAcentral's name for it is "long non-coding RNA (ZMAR_LNC004621)". Lineage: Eukaryota; Viridiplantae; Streptophyta; Magnoliopsida; Alismatales; Zosteraceae. The record is from RNAcentral.